GAUGAACGCUGGCGGCGUGCCUAAUACAUGCAAGUCGAGCGAGCAGACGAGGAGCUUGCUCCUCUGACGUUAGCGGCGGACGGGUGAGUAACACGUGGAUAACCUACCUAUAAGACUGGGAUAACUUCGGGAAACCGGAGCUAAUACCGGAUAAUAUAUUGAACCGCAUGGUUCAAUAGUGAAAGACGGUUUUGCUGUCACUUAUAGAUGGAUCCGCGCCGCAUUAGCUAGUUGGUAAGGUAACGGCUUACCAAGGCAACGAUGCGUAGCCGACCUGAGAGGGUGAUCGGCCACACUGGAACUGAGACACGGUCCAGACUCCUACGGGAGGCAGCAGUAGGGAAUCUUCCGCAAUGGGCGAAAGCCUGACGGAGCAACGCCGCGUGAGUGAGGAAGGUCUUCGGAUCGUAAAACUCUGUUAUUAGGGAAGAACAAAUGUGUAAGUAACUAUGCACGUCUUGACGGGACCUAAUCAGAAAGCCACGGCUAACUACGU
This 496-nucleotide ribosomal RNA is filed under the name uncultured bacterium. RNAcentral's name for it is "partial 16S ribosomal RNA". It matches the Rfam family "Bacterial small subunit ribosomal RNA", at positions 28 to 506 of the family's 1533-position model. The record is from RNAcentral.